RNAcentral lists this ribosomal RNA (270 nucleotides) under uncultured archaeon. RNAcentral's name for it is "partial 16S ribosomal RNA". It matches the Rfam family "Archaeal small subunit ribosomal RNA", at positions 477 to 747 of the family's 1478-position model. The record is from RNAcentral.
CAGCACCUCAAGUGGUCAGGAUGAUUAUUGGGCCUAAAGCAUCCGUAGCCUGCUUUGUAAGUUUUCGGUUAAAUCCAUACGCUUAACGUAUGGGCUGCCGGGAAUACUGCAAAGCUAGGGAGUGGGAGAGGUAGACGGUACUCGGUAGGAAGGGGUAAAAUCCUUUGAUCCAUUGAUGACCACCUGUGGCGAAGGCGGUCUACCAGAACACGUCCGACGGUGAGGGAUGAAAGCUGGGGGAGCAAACCGGAUUAGAUACCCGAGUAGUCC